ACACACCUGUACCCAUGCCGAACACAGAAGUUAAGCAUCUUAGCGCCAAAUGUAGUACAUUGUGCAAGACUAGGACAUUGCCAGGC
This 86-nucleotide ribosomal RNA is filed under the name Bacilli bacterium. Lineage: Bacteria; Bacillati; Bacillota; Bacilli. The record is from RNAcentral.